AAGUCGUAACAAGGUCUCCGUAGGUGAACCUGCGGAGGGAUCAUUAACACGUUUUAAAACACGUUUUAACUACACCAACCAACCACGUGAACUAUUUAACACUCCUGGAAGAGAAAGAAUUCUGUCUCCUCUCACUAAUGAUGAGCUCGAUAAAAAGAGCAGUGAGUUUAGACUAGCAUUGCAGUUAAGAGCUGACUUGUACAGACCUUUCACUUUUGGGCUAAAUGCUCCUUUCAUCAUUGCAGCGCAAACAACCACUUUCACCACUUCUAUAACCAUUGACUGAUCUUUUUUUCUUUGCAACAUAGGAAAAAAACUAAAUCAAAUAUCUAAGCACAACUCUUAGCAACGGAUAUCUUGGUUCUC
This 366-nucleotide unclassified non-coding RNA is filed under the name fungal sp. RNAcentral describes it as "partial internal transcribed spacer region". The stretch from base 1 to 46 matches the Rfam family "Eukaryotic small subunit ribosomal RNA", at positions 1786 to 1831 of the family's 1831-position model. The record is from RNAcentral. Lineage: Eukaryota; Fungi.